RNAcentral lists this ribosomal RNA (492 nucleotides) under uncultured bacterium. Its description in RNAcentral is "partial 16S ribosomal RNA". It matches the Rfam family "Bacterial small subunit ribosomal RNA", at positions 29 to 507 of the family's 1533-position model. The record is from RNAcentral.
AGUGAACGCUGGCGGCAUGCCUUACACAUGCAAGUCGAACGGCAACACGUUAAGAGCUUGUGCUGACUGGUGGACGGGGGAGUACGACAGCGGAAUGCACCCGAAUGUACUUUUUCGUGGGGGAUAACGUUGGCUAAUUUACGCUAAUACCUCAUGCUACCUACGGGGGACAGCAAGGGAUUUUCGGGCCUGGCCCGCCGGUGUGAGCCGAUGUCGGAUUAGGUAGUUGGUGGGAUAAAGGCUUACCAAGGCGACGAUCCGUAGCUGGUCUGAGAGGACGACCAGCCACACUGGAACUGAGACACGGUCCAGACUCCUACGGGAGGCAGCAGUGGGGAAUAUUGGACAAUGGGCGAAAGCCUGAUCCAGCCAUGCCGCGUGGAUGAUGAAGGCCUUCGGGUUGUAAACUGCUUUUGUAGGGAAAGAAAAGACGCAGGCUAAUAACGAGCUUUCCUGACGGUACCGAAAGAAUAAGCACCGGCUAACUACGUG